UCCCUCGUGGCGCAAUUGGCUAGCGCGUUCGACUGUUAGCAUCUCAUCUUCCAUCGAGAGGUUGGUGGUUCGAGCCCACCCGAGGGAG
Molecule: transfer RNA, 88 nt
Filed under: Blumeria hordei DH14
Lineage: Eukaryota; Fungi; Ascomycota; Leotiomycetes; Helotiales; Erysiphaceae
Also listed under: 1 other name
Description: tRNA-Asn for anticodon GUU
Rfam family: tRNA
About the family: Transfer RNA (tRNA) molecules are approximately 80 nucleotides in length.
Source: Rfam by way of RNAcentral